UCCGGUUUGUCACCGGCAGUCUGCUUAGAGUGCCCACCAUAACGUGCUGGCAACUAAGCAUAAGGGUUGCGCUCGUUGCGGGACUUAACCCAACAUCUCACGACACGAGCUGACGACAACCAUGCACCACCUGUCUCCAAUGCUCCGAAGAGGGGCACUAUCUCUAAUGCCUACAUUGGGAUGUCAAGACCUGGUAAGGUUCUUCGCGUUGCUUCGAAUUAAACCACAUACUCCACUGCUUGUGCGGGUCCCCGUCAAUUCCUUUGAGUUUUAGCCUUGCGGCCGUACUCCCCAGGCGGGGCACUUAAUGCGUUAGCUUCGGCACGGAGGGAGUCGACACCCCCCACACCUAGUGCCCAUCGUUUACAGCGUGGACUAC
RNAcentral lists this unclassified non-coding RNA (379 nucleotides) under uncultured Bacillota bacterium. RNAcentral describes it as "uncultured Firmicutes bacterium contains 16S-23S intergenic spacer region". The record is from RNAcentral. Lineage: Bacteria; Bacillati; Bacillota.